Mus musculus (house mouse) is the source of this 13728-nucleotide long non-coding RNA. RefSeq annotates it as predicted gene, 51714. Lineage: Eukaryota; Metazoa; Chordata; Mammalia; Rodentia; Muridae. The record is from RefSeq and is a predicted model, not a curated record. The transcript is spliced from 2 exons.
CUUUUUUGUACUUUCCUCAAAAUUUUAUAUAUAUAUGUAUGUGUGUGUGUAUAUAUAUUUUUUAUUCACUUUAUGUAUUAUCAACACUUGACCCUCAACAACUCCCUUAUACCCCACUUUAUGUCUUAAGAGGAUUUUGUAGGAAAAAGUGCUAAUGGCAGAUACCUUCUGUUGUCAAAUCCCUUUCCAUAUUCCUAACCUAUUCUGCUUCCGUAUUUUCCCUUUCUAGGCUGCAGCUUCAUCUUCUAAUCUCUUACUGUGGCGAUUCACACCUGUACUCCAUACAAAAUUUACCUGUGUAUUCAGCACAAUAAGACUUUAAAUAAUGAUUUUCCAGCCCUUACAUUCAAGAAUGGUAUGUCCAGAAGUUUAAGUGUGAGGUGCACAAUAUAUAUCCUGGAUAUUGUUCACUGUGUGAACAUGUCAAUAUGCUGCUAUCAUUCUCACAGUUAAAAGCUAAGCCUUCACAAGUCCACCACCUCAGCUGGCACUCAGCUGAUAGUCAUAUGCUCAAGUCUACACAGAAAAAUAACUGCACUAUCAUUCUUAAAGAAGAUUUUUUGGUUUUGUUGUUGUUUGUCUUUGAGACACGGUUUCACUAUGUAGCUUUGGCUGACCUGGAACUCACUAUGAAGACCUGGCCUUGAACUCACAGAAAUUCAUCUGCCUCCUGAAUUCUGGGGAAGUUCUUUAAGGAGUUUUUCAAAAUGUAUUUUUAUACAUGAUUUCUGUCCUAAGAUUGGAACCUAACCAAGCAGAAUAUGAAGAUAUACUUAUGUAAAGCCGGAGACACCAAUGCAAAAAUAAGGUGUGCUAGAAUCUUAGCGACAUCUAGUGGCAGGUUCAGCCUUCACAACACAGAUCUACUGCCACCCACUGGCAUUCUCAGAGCUGCAGUGUCAAAGCAAAUCUGGAUUAAAGACCCUACUUGUAGGUUUCCCUUUCUAGUUUGCCCAUUUUAGAUAAUGCUUAUUGAAAAGGUGUCACCAUCAACUGUUGGCCUUUAGUCCCAGCACUUUCAAACCUUUUGGCCAGAACCAGAUUUUCUUGGGCCAGAACGAUUAUGCAGCAGCAGGUGAAGGAGCUUGCGACAUAAAUAUGACAAGCUGAGUUUCAUCUCUGACACUAAUGGUAGAUGGUGAGAACUGAGUCUCCUGACCUUCUCAAGUAUGCUGGAGCACACAUGCACCCAUUCAUGCUCACACAAGAGAAAAAUGAGGCCAGGCUGAUCUACAGAGUGAUUCCAGGAGCCACGUGUACAGAGAAGCACUUUCUCAUGAGAAAACCAAACACAUUUAUGAUAUCUACUUGAACCUGAGAGCUCGAGAGUUUGAGACUAAUCAAGGAGGGGGUAGUGAGAGGAGAGAGGUAAGACGGAGAGUGAAGGAUGGGGGAAGAAAAAAGGGACUCCAAUUCUUCAACUUUCUUGUCAAUAUACAACAUAAUUAAUAAGUCCUCCUGCCAGUACAAUCUUAGAUGUUUUCAAACUUUGGUCUGUAUCCAACAAGUGAAAAGAAAGUUAGGAAAAGACUGGCCUAAGCUACACUUUAAAAUGUAGUUAAGCACUAUCAAGACUUCCACAAUACAUCUCAUGAACUAUACAAAAACAUUCUUAACCUAGUGCAGAUGCAGGACCUUACAUUAAGAAAGUCCGAAUUGCUGGACAUUCACUAACAUUCUACCACAGCUAUAGAUUUGCUUAUAAAGACACACUCAUGGGGUGGGGGCACUGUGGUGCUGGCAUUCAGCCACUCUUGCUCUUCCCUACGUACUUCCUCAAACAGUAUAAACAGAAGGCUAAAACUACAUUUCCCAAACCGCAUUACUAUUAGGUAGCCAAUGAUAGCCACAGCAGAUGAACAAGUGUGGAAGAAAAGAAGCAUUCUUCUCUUGAUCACACUGUUACAGAGCAGUAGGCCCUUGUGAGUUCCUACAGUGGGGUAUCCACAGACAAUCAGGGCUCCUGUAGAAGCCACAUGGCAGUUGGAUAGAAGAUGGCAGGCUCCAAACAGGACUCAUUCCUAAGUCAGAGACAUUCUUCAAUCCCUGUCUCUAAAAACAUUUCUUUUUUUUCCCCUUCUGUUCUUCCAACUCUUUCAAGAAUUUGUAACCUAGCACCUCAAAACAUUUCCUUUCUGUUUGAAACAUGUAGCUUUUGUUUUUGUCUUCCUCAUAUAAUGCUUAACAAAAAUCAAGUGAAAUAAUUUAUACUUGUGGUUAUGCUAAAACAUGUUAGAGGACACAGAAUUGCUAAGGAUACAGGUUCUUACACAUUAAAGAUAUUCCCGAACAUUUAUUGUAGCUAAGGAUGAAAACAAACUGUGAAGAAGGGGUGGGGGGAAGGCUUGAGAUAAAGAGAAGGAAAUAUAAAGCAAACAAACAAAAAAUAGGAUACAUAUUCAUAAAUUAAAUAUUACACCCCGGAUGUCUUUUGCAAAGGGGUAAAAACAAGGCCUGGGAUGUAGCCAGUGUCAGAGAGCACACAAUUUUAUCAUUUGAGAGGGAGAGAGGGCAGGCAACAAUAAAGGGCUGGGGUGUAGCUUAGUAUGGAGCACUGCCAAGAAAGGGCAGGGCAACAGGUUCAAUUCCAAGUGCUGCAAAAACAAAAUCAGACAAAAAGAAAAAUACAUAAUAGAAUAGUAUUUUUUAAAUGUACAUGUUUGUAAUUUGGAACAGCCAUGAUGGCUUAUUCUGACUGUCAAACUUGACAGUCACAGACUCUCUAGGCACAUCUAUAAGAUAGCUUGUGGAUGGAUUAACUAGGAGGCAAGAUCUACCCUAGAUGUUGUCAAUAUCAUUUCAUAGGCUGGGGUCCUAGACUGUGUGUUUUAAAAAGGGAAGUAGACUAAAGAGAUUGCUCAGUGGUCUAAGCGAAACUGUGCAGUUGUGAAGACUGGAAUUUGGAUCCUGACACCCAAGUAAUAAGGCAGGUGCUGCACGAGCACUUGUCACUCCAGUUCCAGGGGCUGUGUGUGAUGCCCUCCUCUGGCCUUCACAUGUACACUUAACACACAGCACACACACAUGCACUUACACUAAAUAUUGGGGAUAAGGAAAAGGAGGAAGGGUGAACACCAAAGUUCAUCUCUGCUUCCUGGCUCUAAGUGCAUUGGUUCAUGUGGACUGCAUCUUCAACCUCAGAGCAAAGAUAAACCCUUGCUCUAAGUUACUUUCUUCUGCUACUGAGUCAGAGCCAUGAGAAAAGAAAUUAAUACAGAAGUCAUCAUAUUCAAUUAACAGUUUGAUAAAGAUGCAUAAUAAAGUUUUCUUUCUUUCUUUCUUUCUUUCUUUCUUUCUUUCUUUCUUUUUUUUUUUCCAGACAGUCAUUUUGUGUAGCCCUGGCUGUCCUGAAACUCCAUCUAUAGACCAGGCUGGCCUUAAAUUCACAGAGAUAAGCCUGCCUCUGCCUUCCAAGUGCUUUAAAGGCAUGUGCCACCACCAACCAGGAUAUAAGGAGAUUUUAAAGGGGACUAACUAAACAAAAAUAAAGCAUAAAACUUCCAAAUUGGUAGUUUAAUAGUAGAGAAAGAAAAUCAACAGGGGACAUUAAUGAAACAAUAAUGGGACUAGAUAGAUACAACAUGCAUGCUCGCAUAUACAAUAACAAAGGGACAGAAUACAAACAUAAUGCAAUAAAAAAAAAAGCAAAGGUGAGAUAGAAGAAAAAAAAAUCCUAAAGUGUUAAUGAUCACAAGAUGGCCUGUCCAUUUACAUCUGUGUCUGGAAGCUAGGAGAGAUAAGUCAUGCUUGUAAUCCCAGUGUUCAAGAGACAGAGCCAAAAGGAUUGCUGAAAGUUCACAAGCUUGGUUAGUGGAACAUGUUCCAGGACAACCUGCUCAAAAGGCCAAAAUAAGCAAAUAAAUCAACAGAUAUAAAGUCAUAGCUGGAUUUAAAAAAAAAAAAAAACUACUACUUACUGAGUAAAAUUUAAAAGUAAGUGACAUAGGCAGAAAAUAACCCAGGGGAGAUAACAUACUAGGUAAGACCUAACCAAAUAAAAGAGCUAGUGCAACUGUUAUCAAUAAUGAGAAACAUAGAUCCUAGACAAAAGUAUAAUUAGAAAUACAGAAGCAAGCCAGGUAGGUGGAAGUGGCACAGGCCUUUAUCAUAGCAGAGAAGCAAGUGGAUUUCUGAGUUGGAGGCCAGCCUGGUCUACAGAAGAAGAGUUCCAGAACAGCUAGAGCUACACAAAGAAACUGUCUCAAAAAGACAAACAAAACAAAAGGAAAUACAGAGGCCUUGCUCUCUGUAGUUCCCAUGGUGGGCAUGGGAUAGCAAUUGCUAUUUACUAGUCUCCAAUAAUGAUAAGGCACAAGCCUGUGCCCUAUAUAACCUGCACACAGAUGCCUGAUCCUUGCAGGUAGGUCCUAGAACUACAAUAGGGUUUGAAGAAAAUCACUACUAUUUUGUCCUUGAAGAAAACCUAACCAGCAUUAGAAGCCCACUCAGGAAUAGGGCUGUUUACAUAGAAUCUGCACUAACCUAAGGAGUGAAAGCCUGGGCUUUGGAAUCUCCACCUUGGAGAUGAUUGGCAUGUCAGCAAGGUUUCAGUGAUAAUUUCUGCUAAUUCAACUAUGAGCAGUGUCAGGGACAGAGAAGGUGGUUACUGUGGACUCUGCUGCUACAAAGAAUAAUUUCUGUCUGAAUUUAGGCAGAUCCUAGAAACUCUGGUCUCUCCCAUAUUAAUCCAUGUGAGCAGCUAACAACCUGUUAGGCAAGAAGAAAAGAGGCUGAAACCAGCACAUUUAUGUACCAGGUAGACAUCAUUACUUGGGUGUGGUUGCAGAUACAUCUAGUUCUGGUCUCGGAGCCAGAGAUGACUUGAGAGGGUGAGCCUGGGUAAGCUUACUGAGACCUUCCCCAAAGCAGAGAGCAUUUUACCUUACAAGUAACUGAAGUACUUGAUUUCAUAUCUAGAUCUAGAUAGAGAUAGAUAGAUCCAAGUAACUGUUUUUACAUUUAUUUAUGUAUGUGAGUGUGGAGGCAUGUGCAUGUCACAAUAACGUGUGGUAGUCAGAGGAUAUAACCUGUAGGAGUCUGUUCUCUUUCCACCAUGUGGGAUCUGGAGAUCAAACUCAAGUUGUCAGGCUUGGAGGCAAGAACCUUAACACUCCAAGCCAUCUCACCAGUCCCAGAUAAGAUAUUUUAGAGUGAAUGAGUGAGUGAGAGAGAGAGAAAGAGAGAGAGAGAGUGUGUGUUAAUUGUGUGUGUGAGUCAGCGGGUGAGUUCUGGGCCAGCCUGAGCAGUGAUACUCUGCCUCAAAACGAAAGGAACUCUCACAAAGACUGUGUAUGUUGUAUAUGUCUACAGACUUAACUUAGUGGUAGACCAGUAGCAUGGCAAGCAGGAAGACCUGAGUUUAAUCCACAGCAGCAGGCGGGGAAGGACAAUAAGCAAAGAAACUAGUUGAAAGGAACUAAAAAGGAGAAAUUAGUGAAGACAAAGUAGUAGAGCAACAAAACAAAGGGAAGAGCCAAGCAGUCCAGGCAAGAUUGCAAGUUUGAGGACAGCUUAGGCAUCCUAGCACUUUCUAGGCCAGCCAGGGCUACAAAAUUAGACCACGUUAAAAGCUGAGCAUUCAGGGACCCCAGCAGAAGAGCUAGAGAAAGGACUGAAGGAGCUGAAGGGGCUUGCAAUCUCAUAGGAAGAACAACAAUAUCAACCAACCUGACCACCCACAGCUCCCAGGGACUAAACCACCAACCACAGAGUAUAAACAGAGGGACCCAUGGCUCCAGCUGCGUAUGUAGCAGAGGAUGGCCUUAUCUGUCAUCAAUGGGAGGGGAGGCCCUUGGUCCUGUGGAGGCUUAAUACCUCAGUGUAAGGAGACACUACAGUGGUGAGGUGGGAAUGGGGGUUGGUGGGUAGGGAAGCACCCCCAUAGAAGCAAAGGAGAGAGGGGAGGGGAUAGGAGGGUUUGCAGGAAGGGGGACAACAUUUGAAACAUAAAUAAAUAAAAUAACCAAUUUUUAAAAAGCUGGGCAUCUAUCUUUAAUCCCAGCAUGUAUGAGGUAGAGGUGAGACCAUCAGAGUUCAAGGCCAGGAUUUGAUAUGUAAGACCAGGUCUUUAAAAACAACAGUAAAAGAAACUGGCAGACUUUUUUUUAAUCCCACCACUUAGGAGGCAGAGGCUGGUGGAUCUUUGCGUUUAAGGUCAGCCCAGUCUACAGGUGGAGUUCCAGGAUAGCCAGGGUUACACAGAGAAACCCUGUCUCAAAAAAGAAAACAAACAAUAACCAACCAAUCCUUCACCCAAAAGUAAGGGGCCACUUUUCACCAAACCUAAUGACCUGAGUUUGAUCUCUGGAUCCCACAAGUUUUUCUCUAUUCUGCACAUUUACACUGUGUGAACACACACACUCACAAUCACUCUCUCUCCCUCACUAAUAAAAUAAAAGUAAAAAAGCUUAAAAAAGGGGCUGGUGAGAUGGCUCAGUGGGUAAGAGCACCCGACUGCUCUUCCGAAGGUCUGGAGUUCAAAUCCCAGCAACCACAUGGUGGCUCACAACCAUCUGUAAUGAGAUCUGACUCCCUCUUCUGGAGUGUCUGAAGACAGCUACAGUGUACUUACAUAUAAUAAUAAAUAAAUAAAUCUUAAAAAAAAAAAAAAGCUUAAAAAAGAAUGUCAAAUUCUAGAAGAAAAAGUUUUAAAACUUCAAAUCUGAUUUUAAAAUUUUAUUAUUUAAAAACUCUUAACAGGUUUCUAUAUUUUACCAUGUAUGAUGAAAUAAAGUAUACUUAUGUAACUAAGUGGAUAAUGAUGAAAGGGCAUCAACUGUCUUCCUAUAGUCGAUACAUAAAACAGAACCUAAUUUUUAUCAAUUGUAAUCAUGAGCUAAGAUUAACACAUGUAAGUCCCCUAUCUCUGGGGCUGUUUGUUUAAAAAGAAUAAUAAAAUAAUUUAAAAAAAUGAUUAACACAUGUAUUUUUGUGAGUUUUAUAAUUAGAAUAUAUUAGAAACCCUUUGUUAUUAGGGUAUUAGAUAUAUACACAUAGAAACAUUUAAGGGCUGGAGUUUAGUAGCAAAGCAAAAUCUAAAAUUCCUAAAGUUCUGGAUUCAGUUGAUCAGCACCAACAAUAGCAAAAGACGUUUGAAAAAUUAUUAGAUGUGGGAAUUGUGGCUCAGUGGUACAGUGCUUGCUCCACAUGUGCAUGGUAGGCCCUAGGUUCAAUCUCUAGUCCUGGGGAGGAAAGCUAAACGAUUAUUUUAUAUUCUAGUAAGCUAAAAACAAUUUUAUAAAAAACAUCAUCAUUUUCAGCCUGUGGCUAACUUACAUAGCAUGAGCACUCAAAUAAGUUCUCUGCCUGCUGGGCACUAUGCUCACUAUAAAUAAGUAGAAUUAACAACGGCUAACAGACCUUUGAAAAUAUUGUUAGGAAGGUUCAACUACUGUUACCAAUUUUAGAAAAUCACUUUUGUCCUGUAAAUUCUUACUAUUUGGCAUGCAAUGACGGUAACUAAAAGUCUCCAGAAUAAACACAACGUCCUUCAACUGUUUCCAUAAAAUCAAAAAUCUCUAUAAAGGUAGGUUUAUCAUCAGCCUCAGAAUAUUUGGUGCAGGAGAGCUAACAGGUGCGGGAAAUAAGUCAUAAAGUACAACCCUUACACAACAAACAGGAGCAAAUCUAACAAGCUGGCAGGGCUGGAGAUGUAACUCAGUGGCAGAGCACCACCCACCAUGCACUAGGCCCUGGGUUUCAACCCUAGUACAGAUGGGGUAUGACUGAAGGAAGCCAUAUUCAGGAGGUAGGUGCAGUAGGAUAAUACUCACAGUCCAAACUCAUCCUGGACUACACAUUGAAUUUAAGGCCAGGCUGGGAUAAGAGACCUUGCUGAGCAAAUCAAAGAAAGAGAAAUCUGUCUGGAUAGAAAUAGAGAACACUAUUUAGCCUACCAGAAAGUAUAACAAAGUAGCUCCAGAAAAUACUAUGAUUAACUACAAUUUUUAAAACUCUGGGGAAAAAAUUUAUACCUACUGUUAAAUAUUGUUAUAUAGAAACAGUUGUGGGACUGGAGAGAUGGCUGGGUGUUUAAAAGCAAUGGCUGGUCCAGAGGUCCUGGAUUCAACUCCCAGCACCCACAUGGUGGCUCACAGCUGUCUGUAACAGGGGAUCUGAUGCACUCUUCUGGCCUUCCAGGGCACCACGAGUACACAUGUUCACAGAUAUAUAUGUAAACAAAAAACCAUACACAUUAAAACAAAAACAAACAACCACUAAGAGAUAAGUAUCAGAGGUAAGAUUUAAAAAGCCUCUCAUGAGGGAGAGAACACCAAUUUCCCCCCAUGGUUUAAUGAGCUUAUGAUGUCUGAAACUGGAGCAGCCAUAUUACAUUAAGAAGUGAGGUGCUAAGAAUGGUGGAGCAGCAACAAAGGACAUAAAUACUGGAAAACUUAGAGCCAUUCUCCCAACCCUCGGCUAGCUUUCAUUUGUGCUUUUUUUGCCAAGAGAGAAAAGUUACUAACUUCUAUUUUGUUUAAACUACUAAUUUUAUUAUUCUGAUACAUGCAAACAAACAUAAUUCUGAUUACAGAAAAAAGCAUGUAGGAUUUAGACACACAAAGACUCGGACAAGCAGGUUUUGUCUGAGGAUGAAGGAAGCAUCAAGAAGAGAUUAGAACAAUGUGAGCAAGAAGAUGACUUAUGGGAGAUAGAGCAAGAGAAGGUGAUGAAAGAAGGUUGAACACCAAGCUGGUGAGCUUGGACUUCAUCCUGUGACAGACAAUUGGGUCAGACAAAGUUACUCUCAGACAGGACUGUCCAAGGUCACCCAGCACCAUCCACUUCUAGGCAGCCUUUGAGAGAACUUGUAUCCAGAAUGGAACUAGAGGUUUUACACUGAAACAUAUUUUCCAGUUCCCUUCCUCUUCACAAUUCACCAAGCUUGGCUUCUUUUAACUUUUAAAAUUAUAUUAUAUAUAUUAUACAUACAUGGCAUAUAUAUAAAUUAAGAUUUUGUUUAUUUUAUUUAUAUGAGUACACUGUAGCUGUCUUCAGAUAUACCUGAAGAGGGCAUCGGAUCCAAUUACAGUUGGUUGUGAGCCACCUUGUGGUUACUCAGCCCUUAAAGGCUUUGCUCACAACCAAAAAUGUAUACAUAUUUUUGAGACAGGGUCUCUAUAUAUAGCCCUUGCUGCUUCAAAAAUCACAAUGUAGACCAGGGUGGCCUCAAACUCAGAGAUCCACCUGCCUCUGCCUCCAGAACACUGAGAUUCAAGGUGUGUGCCACCACAUCCUGCCCAUAUCUUUAAAAAAAAAAUUAUUAUUUUUAAGUUUGUAUGUUUUGUCUAUACGAAUGUCUGUAUACUACUUAUGUGCCCAUAGAGGUCAGAAGAGGACACUGGAUCCUCUGAACCUGCAGUUACAGAUGGCUAUAAGCCACCAAGUGGGUGCUGGGAAUCAAACCAGUUGCUCUGAAAGAGCAGCCAGUGUUCUUUAACUGAGCCAUCACUCCAGCCUGGCCCAGUGUUCUUUUAACACAAUUAUUUCAGUUGAGAGCUCUACUUCAGCUAGUCUUUCCUCAGACAUGUCACUUAGUUUAAUUAAAAUAAUCUCUAGAAAACUUGCUAAUGGCAUCUUAGAAAACAAACAAAAACCAAACAACCUAAGCUGCAGCACACAUAUAUACAUCACAAAUUUAGUUUUGUUCAUAUUUUUAAAGUGGGUCAAAGUUAAGGUUUGGGGGCUCACUGUAUUAUACUGAGUUAAGUAGCUCAGGUUGGUCCUGAACUCAUAGAGCUUCUGCCUCCUGACUGCUGGGAUUAUUAGGUAAACUACUAUAGCUAGCUAGAGGUAAUUUUAAAAUGUUAAGUUAACUUCGGUUCUAAAUAGUUAAAUGACCUCAUAGCUUAUAUUAAAGGAGAACUUGUCAUCACCUGUCCUAUGGGAUAGUUAACUUUUAACCUGCUAGCAUUUCUCAAUAUAUUAGAUAUUUAGUUUCAGUACAAUACCAGCUACAAUGAACAGUUUAUAGACUGACUUUGUUUAGUUUCUGUUUAAGACUGGUACAAACUAAAGAGAGAUAUCUGUGUACUUUUAUGCUCACACAUAUUUACCUAUUAUCCUAAUUAAAAAUAGGGGGCUGUCUGAUUUCCUUCUCUUUUUAACCUUUGCUUUUUAAUUUUAUUUCCACCAGUCUGUGAAUUUCUUCUCUUAAUGUGAGCGUACACCAUUCAGAAGGGGAGAAUCAUUAACCUUGUCUUAUUUCAUGCAGGGUCCAAGUAUCUUAAACUUUUAGAAACAACAAACUAACCCACUAUAAAACCUUAAAAGUAUUUUUAGCUGAAUACUUAAGCUUUAAUUGAAGGUCAACUGGGUACAGAGACAAUAAUCAACUUUUCAGGUCAUGUAACUGCUCUUCCAAACAGAAGAAACAGGUGAUCUGGCUCACGGGAACACAGAAGUGACUUUGCACAUUUUCCUCCUGUUUAAGGAUAGUGUCCAUGCCACAGGCAUUUACAAUGUACAGCCAAUCUUCAUUUCAAAAAGGGACAUUACAUUUCCCACACCCUCUUGCUGGUAUUAAUGACAGUAGCUAGACAACAAGUCCUAAAAAUGCUCGAGGAGAGAAACAAAGCAUAGAGAGAAAAGAUUAAAAGUUAUCCCUGAUAUUAGGUAUUGUAUUAGGAUAUUUUGAAAAAUUAUUUUAUGUACACUCUUGGUUUUGCCUGCAUCAUGUCUGGGUGAGGGUGCUGGAUCCUGGAGUUACAGUUGUGAGCUGCUGCCAUGUGGGUGCUGGGUACUGAACCUGGGUCCUCUGAAGAGCAGGCAGUACUUUUAACCACUGGACCAUCUCUAUAGCCCUAUAUUAGGCUAUUUUAAUCAAAAGUACUUAUACUCUAGAAAUCAGUAUUUCAAACCUUAGCAACAUAUUAACAAGCAUUACCCAAAAUUAUUUUAGUUGGGUGUAGUGGCAGCGCCACUGUAAUCCUUGAACUUGGGGGCUUAAAGCCAGAGCACUUCAAGUUAAAGGCCAGCCAGGACUACAGAGUGAGCCUCUUCCUAAAAAAAUAAUUAAACAGGGGCCAGCAAGAUGACUCAGUGGGUACAGACUCUAGCCACCAAUUCUUACAAUCCAAGUUCAAUCCGGAACUCUCAUGGUGGAAGGAGAAAACAGACCCCCCACAGGCUGUUUUCUGAUCUCUAUACAGAUACCCCCAACACACAACAAAUUUUUUAGAAAGAAAAUUAUCCACCACACUACUAGGUAGCAAAUUCAAACUGAGCUUCAUUUCAGCGUACUUAGGAAAAGACAGACAGACAUGGCCUUUGAGUUCCUAAAUCCAAAGCAGUUAUAAACAUACCAAAAACUUUGCAAUAUGAACAGGUAAUAUUUAAGAUUAUUGCUAAAAAAACCUGUAACCUUUAAACUAUAUGCAUUGGGCUGGGGGGGGGGGGGCUUCAAAAAAAUCUAUUGCUCAGCUGGGCCUCGUGGCACAGGCACAGGCUUGUAACCUGAGUCACCUGGUGUCUGCGCCUAGAGGAUCCCAAAUUCAAAGCCUGGCUGGACUACAAAGUGAGUUCAAGUUGCCUGGGCAACUUAGUGAAAUCAUUUCAAAGCUGAAAUCAGGAAGGUGAGGGCCAGCAUGGUUAUAGAUCAAUAGUUUCAGGGCUAUCCUCUCUAGGUAACCGAGCUACACCAGCCCCAGUCUCAAAAAGACAAAAGAGGGGCUGGGCAUAGUCAGUCAGAAAGUGUUUGCUUGCACACACAUAAUUCUCCCUCUCAUGCUGUUUCACAAAAAUGGGGGGAGCGGGAACCCCAGGAAUAGAGCUCAGUGUCCCAGAGGUCCUACUACAGAAGGAAGGAAGGAAGGAAAGGAAGGAAGGAAGGAAGGAAGGAAGGGAGGAAGGAGGGAGAGAGGAAGGGAGGGAAGAAAGGAUAAAUCCUUCGUUUUGCAAAGUAUAAUAUGACACAACAUUAUAACUGCCUACUGUUUUUAUUAUCCUUGUUUUCCUUCUUUUCGCCAGUUAACUUACAAUUACUAUCAGAAGAGAACUAUGACAAUGGAAGAAAUAAUAAAGGGUAAGUUGACAUGAUUAGAAUAUAUGGAAUGAGCAAAACCCACUAAUCUACAGUGCAACAUUAGUAUAAGGAUUACGUUUAAACAUUAGACCAAAUUCCAUAUACAGUAAAGCAGUUUGGUAUUAAUUAUCAAUCAAUUAAUAAAUUUUGAGACAGGAUUUCAUUAUGUACUUCCAGCUGGCCUGGGACUCACAAAAUUCCUCUAGCUUCUGCCUGAGUACUGGGAUUAAAGGCCCAAUUUGGGAUUUUUUGUUUGUUUUUAAAGAAAAAUUGUUGGGAACUCAUGACUUUUCUCCUUUGUUAGCUAACUGACUCCAUGUACCCUGGAAGUCAAAGCAUCAUAAUAAUUACGACGGAAUGGGCAGGCACUACAUAAGCAUACAGGCCUCAAACUCGUAGGUGUGCUGCUAGCACAUUUCCCUUCAACAGAGACAUACAAAUGAGCUGACAAAUAUAUCCCCAUGAUUCGAGAAAUAUCUAAGAAGUUGUGCUGGGUUUUUCGUUUGGGCCUCACAGCCGUCGCGGGACGUAGGUACUAUUACCGGGACUUUACCGAUAAGAAGACUGAAGCCCAAAGGGUUCAGGAAAGAGAUCACGAGGCCACACAACUCACAACCCUAAUAACCGAGCCCUGCAUCGCUGCCUGAAUGGAGACACCACCUUAAAGAGUUCCCUGCAAGCUCACAAGUGGCCCGAGCGCUUCCGGAGGGACAACGUCCUGAGCAAAUCAAAGCCCACUACAGAACCUGGGUCCCUAACAUGGGCCGGAGUCCUAGCUGCCUGGUACACUUGGGUGCUACACCGAGGCUCGGGAGCGGAUCGGUUCCUUUCCACUCGCCAGGGCCCUCCCCGGUUGCGGGAGGAGCCGUCGGCGGAGGGCUCCAGGCCGCCCUCGCUCCCGCGGGCCCGCCAGCCAAGGUUCCCGCCACACCAGGUCCCGCGGAUCCCGCGGGUCUCGAGGGUUCCCCGGGUCCUCCGGCACACUCACCUUUUGCUCCUCCGCAGACGCUGCCUCGGGGACUUCCGCGGACAUGGUGCUCCUUCUGCAGAAGAGACGCCGGGAGAAGACAGAUUACCGGGAGGCAAGACCGCCCGCCACCUUCUGCCUGCCCCGCUGCCCGCCGGGCCGGCGGCUACCGCCGCCUUGUGACGACACGGGCCCCGGGCUCCCGCCCGCCGUAGCUCCCGCAGCCCAGGCCCGCCAGGCUCCCGCGCCGCGCCCUUACCUACCUAUCCCCGCGCCUCCGGCCCUGCGACGCCCGAGCACUUCCUCUUUCCCUCAAAGGUUGCGGCUCGCGCCUCACCUCACUUCCGUCCAUGGGCGCACAGUGCUUCCUGGGAAUUGUAGUUGGUCUGUGGCGCUGUGUUCCCCCUCCCCUCCACUUCCCCCGCCUUUCCAGACAACCCUGACCUCCUAUUUAGUCCUCUGCUUGCUUGGCAGUACCUCUGCUUCAGUUUAACCCCAUCCAUCUUUACUUCCUCUGUUCUCUAACCUUGCCUCAGCGCCACCUUUUCUUCUUAGAUCAACCUCUUCAAGCUACCACUGCUCCGGAGAGUUCUACAACAAGCACAGCACCAUUACACAGGAAUUGUGAUUACUUUAGUAAUGUCACCAUUCCUCUUCAUGUUAGCCACAGCAGGGAAGAAGUCAAUAUUUUACUCCCAGACCUUGAUAUUUCCCAUGCAAUAAAUCACUGAUAAAUCAA